Molecule: ribosomal RNA, 425 nt
Filed under: uncultured bacterium
Lineage: Bacteria
Description: bacterial SSU rRNA
Rfam family: Bacterial small subunit ribosomal RNA
Source: RNAcentral
AGGGAAUCUUCCACAAUGGACGAAAGUCUGAUGGAGCAACGCCGCGUGAGUGAAGAAGGGUUUCGGCUCGUAAAACUCUGUUGUUAAAGAAGAACAUAUCUGAGAGUAACUGUUCAGGUAUUGACGGUAUUUAACCAGAAAGCCACGGCUAACUACGUGCCAGCAGCCGCGGUAAUACGUAGGUGGCAAGCGUUGUCCGGAUUUAUUGGGCGUAAAGCGAGCGCAGGCGGUUUUUUAAGUCUGAUGUGAAAGCCUUCGGCUCAACCGAAGAAGUGCAUCGGAAACUGGGAAACUUGAGUGCAGAAGAGGACAGUGGAACUCCAUGUGUAGCGGUGAAAUGCGUAGAUAUAUGGAAGAACACCAGUGGCGAAGGCGGCUGUCUGGUCUGUAACUGACGCUGAGGCUCGAAAGUAUGGGUAGCAAAC